Olea europaea var. sylvestris is the source of this 1639-nucleotide long non-coding RNA. RefSeq lists it as uncharacterized. The transcript is spliced from 2 exons. NCBI's taxonomy places the organism in Eukaryota, Viridiplantae, Streptophyta, Magnoliopsida, Lamiales, Oleaceae. The record is from RefSeq and is a predicted model, not a curated record.
GGGGCCCUUAAGGUUGGGGUUCAACCUUUUAACAUUAUUCUUUUCUUUAUUUGGUUGAAGAAAUUAUGACCCAAUUAUAACUCACUAUACCAUGUUUAUGUAAAUUAGUAUGUACAUGUAGCAAAAUCGCACUCUUUUUUUCCUCUCUAUUAUGUAUUAUUUAAUGGGUUGUGCUACAUGUAAAGAAUGGUUUACAUAAACAUGAUGUUGUGAGAUAUAAUUAAUUCAUUAUUUCUUUAACCCAAAAAAAGUAAAUAAAUAAAUAAAUUCUCCACUCUCUUUUUGACACCUUAUUAGUAUGUAAGUUCAGCCUCAAUUUGGGAUUCAUUCACCUCUACAGGUUCAAGAACAAGUUUAGUUUGCUGAUGAACAAGAUUAUUAUUAUCAUCUUCAGUUCAGCCUCAAUUUGGGUUUCAUUCACCUCUACAGGUCCUGGAGUAGAUUUAGUUUGCUGAUGAACAGGAUUAUUACUAUCAUCUUCAGGUUGAGGUGAAAAUCUACGAUUGAAAAGGAAGUGAAGGAGAGAAGCAAAAACGAGCGGAAAUAGCAAAAUCCAAAGUACAUGAAUUAAAUUGGCCAUUGGAUGCAAUUUUUGGGAAUCAAAGUCUAACUAUAAAAAUUGGACUGAUUUGCAUCGCUUUGAAAAUUGAGUACUUGGAGAAAAAUAAUCUACUAAGUGGGCUCAAUUGGACUUGCUUUGAAAUUCAAAUUGAAGAUUUACUAGGACGGUUGGACCUCUAAUUGGACUAGAAGAGCUGCUAGGUUGCAUUGCAUCGUAGGAUUCAUAUAUAUACACACAGAAAAUCCAAAGAGCCGGGGGGAGCAGCCUGGGAAAUAAUAUACAUUGGCAGCUACAAGAAUUAGGGAGACAGAAAAAAAAACAAGAGGCAGGUCGGCAUCUUUGGGAGGAGAAUUCUGCCAUCAAAGAUAUAAACACAAGUGCCGACUGCUAGGGGAUAGAGUGGAGAAAAAUCUGUGCUUUACUGGAGUGAGAAACACGCACAUAAAACGAAGGAAGAGGGGAUAGAUACAAGUUGCUGGCGGCAAGGAAGAAUUGGAGAAGAAAGAAGCAGCCAAUUAAUAUUUAGACUCACGCACAAAGAAAACGUCACCAGCUAGGAGGAACAAUAAUUAUAUACACGCAGUUGCAAUAUUAUAUAUUUACACAAACAUUGGGCGGUGACGUGAAGGAUUGUUCGGCACAAACACGGAAGUAGAUAUAUACACAUACGCCCACAGAUUCAUAAGGGUUGUUGCCGGCUGGUUUCAUUAAAAAAUUAUACACACGGGAAGACACUUUGGCAGAAAACAUAAAACACAUACACGCAUAGCAAAGACCAGAUUUGGAGAUUGAAUUGAAGGCUGUUUUUGGAGGGUUGCUUUUGGCUGAAAUAUAACACAUUGGCAUGAGCUUUUUGGGAAGAAAAAGAUACAAAAAGGAGGCAACCCAUUGGAAUAAAAAGAGAAAGACGGAGAUUUACUUUGGAAAUUAUUCACGUUUCGUUAAUUUCUCGGUGACGUUCUUCCAAUUUUAUGUGUUUAAUUUCAACAUCAUGUUAGGCUAAUUUUUCUCAUGUAUUGGAUGACGAUAAAAUUCGUUAUUAUUUAUUUUUAAUUCAAGACAUGUGGUUUAGUUAAA